GCCUUUAUAGCUCAGUGGUAGAGCGCGGCACUUGUAAUGCCGAGGUCUUCAGUUCAAACCUGAAUGGAGGCA
RNAcentral lists this transfer RNA (72 nucleotides) under Piedraia hortae CBS 480.64. It matches the Rfam family "tRNA". Rfam says of the family: Transfer RNA (tRNA) molecules are approximately 80 nucleotides in length. Their secondary structure includes four short double-helical elements and three loops (D, anti-codon, and T loops). Lineage: Eukaryota; Fungi; Ascomycota; Dothideomycetes; Capnodiales; Piedraiaceae. The record is from Rfam by way of RNAcentral.